ACGGCUCAGUAACACGUGGAUAACCUGCCCUUGGGUCCGGCAUAACCCCGGGAAACUGGGGAUAAUUCCGGAUAACGCAUAUAUGCUGGAAUGCUUUAUGCGUCAAAUGGAUUCGUCUGCCCAAGGAUGGGUCUGCGGCCUAUCAGGUAGUAGUGGGUGUAAUGUACCUACUAGCCGACGACGGGUACGGGUUGUGAGAGCAAGAGCCCGGAGAUGGAUUCUGAGACAUGAAUCCAGGCCCUACGGGGCGCAGCAGGCGCGAAAACUUUACAAUGCGGGAAACCGUGAUAAGGGGACACCGAGUGCCAGCAUCAUAUGCUGGCUGUCCGGGUGUGUAAAAUACACCUGUUAGCAAGGGCCGGGCAAGACCGGUGCCAGCCGCCGCGGUAACACCGGCGGCCCGAGUGGUGAUCGUGAUUAUUGGGUCUAAAGGGUCCGUAGCCGGUUUGGUCAGUCCUCCGGGAAAUCUGACGGCUUAACCGUUAGGCUUUCGGAGGAUACUGCCAGGCUUGGAACCGGGAGAGGUAAGAGGUACUACAGGGGUAGGAGUGAAAUCUUGUAAUCCCUGUGGGACCACCUGUGGCGAAGGCGUCUUACCAGAACGGGUUCGACGGUGAGGGACGAAAGCUGGGGGCACGAACCGGAUUAGAUACCCGGGUAGUCCCAGCCGUAAACGAUGCUCGCUAGGUGUCAGGCAUGGCGCGACCGUGUCUGGUGCCGCAGGGAAGCCGUGAAGCGAGCCACCCGGGAAGUACGGCCGCAAGGCUGAAACUUAAAGGAAUUGGCGGGGGAGCAC
Molecule: ribosomal RNA, 796 nt
Filed under: uncultured archaeon
Lineage: Archaea
Description: bacterial SSU rRNA
Rfam family: Archaeal small subunit ribosomal RNA
Source: RNAcentral